CAGCCGCCGCGGUAAUACCAGCUCUCCGAGUGGUGUGGAUGUUUAUUGGGCCUAAAGCAUCCGUAGCUGGCUAAGUUAGUCCCUUGUUAAAUCCACCGAAUUAAUCGUUGGAUUGCGGGGGAUACUGCUUGGCUAGGGGACGAGAGAGGCAGACGGUAUUUUCGGGGUAGGGGUGAAAUCCUAUAAUCCCGGGAAGACCACCAGUGGCGAAGGCUGUCUGCUAGAACGCGCCCGACGGUGAGGGAUGAAAGCUGGGGGAGCGAACCGGAUUAGAUAUCCGGGUAGUCCCAGCUGUAAACGAUGCAGGCUAGGUGUUUGGACGGCCACGUGCCGUUCUAGUGCCGCAGGGAAGCUGUUAAGCCUGCCGCCUGGGGAGUACGAUCGCAAGAUUGAAACUUAAAGGAAUUGGCGGGGGAGCAAC
RNAcentral lists this ribosomal RNA (421 nucleotides) under uncultured crenarchaeote. Its description in RNAcentral is "bacterial SSU rRNA". It matches the Rfam family "Archaeal small subunit ribosomal RNA", at positions 459 to 880 of the family's 1478-position model. Lineage: Archaea; Thermoproteati; Thermoproteota. The record is from RNAcentral.